RNAcentral lists this ribosomal RNA (253 nucleotides) under uncultured bacterium. RNAcentral's name for it is "partial 16S ribosomal RNA". It matches the Rfam family "Bacterial small subunit ribosomal RNA", at positions 524 to 776 of the family's 1533-position model. The record is from RNAcentral.
UACGGGGGGGGCAAGCGUUGUUCGGAAUUACUGGGCGUAAAGGGCUCGUAGGUGGCCAACUAAGUCAGACGUGAAAUCCCUCGGCUUAACCGGGGAACUGCGUCUGAUACUGGAUGGCUUGAGUCUGGGAGAGGGACGCGGAAUUCCAGGUGUAGCGGUGAAAUGCGUAGAUAUCUGGAGGAACACCGGUGGCGAAGGCGGCGUCCUGGACCAACACUGACACUGAGGAGCGAAAGCCAGGGGAGCAAACGGG